RNAcentral lists this ribosomal RNA (1313 nucleotides) under Salmonella enterica subsp. enterica. Its description in RNAcentral is "bacterial LSU rRNA". It matches the Rfam family "Bacterial large subunit ribosomal RNA", at positions 1 to 1345 of the family's 2925-position model. Lineage: Bacteria; Pseudomonadati; Pseudomonadota; Gammaproteobacteria; Enterobacterales; Enterobacteriaceae. The record is from RNAcentral.
GGGUUGUGAGGUUAAGCGACUAAGCGUACACGGUGGAUGCCCUGGCAGUCAGAGGCGAUGAAGGGCGUGCUAAUCUGCGAUAAGCGCCGGUAAGGUGAUAUGAACCGUUAUAACCGGCGAUACCCGAAUGGGGAAACCCAGUGUGACUCGUCACACUAUCAUUAACUGAAUCCAUAGGUUAAUGAGGCGAACCGGGGGAACUGAAACAUCUAAGUACCCCGAGGAAAAGAAAUCAACCGAGAUUCCCCCAGUAGCGGCGAGCGAACGGGGAGGAGCCCAGAGCCUGAAUCAGCAUGUGUGUUAGUGGAAGCGUCUGGAAAGGCGCGCGAUACAGGGUGACAGCCCCGUACACAAAAGCGCAUGUGCUGUGAGCUCGAUGAGUAGGGCGGGACACGUGGUAUCCUGUCUGAAUAUGGGGGGACCAUCCUCCAAGGCUAAAUACUCCUGACUGACCGAUAGUGAACCAGUACCGUGAGGGAAAGGCGAAAAGAACCCCGGCGAGGGGAGUGAAAAAGAACCUGAAACCGUGUACGUACAAGCAGUGGGAGCACCCUUUGGGGUGUGACUGCGUACCUUUUGUAUAAUGGGUCAGCGACUUAUAUUCUGUAGCAAGGUUAACCGAAUAGGGGAGCCGGAGGGAAACCGAGUCUUAAUUGGGCGUUAAGUUGCAGGGUAUAGACCCGAAACCCGGUGAUCUAGCCAUGGGCAGGUUGAAGGUUGGGUAACACUAACUGGAGGACCGAACCGACUAAUGUUGAAAAAUUAGCGGAUGACCUGUGGCUGGGGGUGAAAGGCCAAUCAAACCGGGAGAUAGCUGGUUCUCCCCGAAAGCUAUUUAGGUAGCGCCUCGUGAAUUCAUCUCCGGGGGUAGAGCACUGUUUCGGCUAGGGGGCCAUCCCGGCUUACCAACCCGAUGCAAACUGCGAAUACCGGAGAAUGUUAUCACGGGAGACACACGGCGGGUGCUAACGUCCGUCGUGAAGAGGGAAACAACCCAGACCGCCAGCUAAGGUCCCAAAGUCAUGGUUAAGUGGGAAACGAUGUGGGAAGGCCCAGACAGCCAGGAUGUUGGCUUAGAAGCAGCCAUCAUUUAAAGAAAGCGUAAUAGCUCACUGGUCGAGUCGGCCUGCGCGGAAGAUGUAACGGGGCUAAACCAUGCACCGAAGCUGCGGCAGCGACACUAUGUGUUGUUGGGUAGGGGAGCGUUCUGUAAGCCUGCGAAGGUGGCCUGUGAGGGUUGCUGGAGGUAUCAGAAGUGCGAAUGCUGACAUAAGUAACGAUAAAGCGGGUGAAAAGCCCGCUCGCCGGAAGAC